AGAGCAGAAGAAUCGAGGUUCUGCGCAGCUUGUGAAACAGCCGGACGAACAGUAAAUACACACCGGGACGCUGCCCCUUCUUGGACCUCAAACUCUGCAAUUAAAAUUCGGGGUCUCUCCCCACCGCCUUCGAGGUCUGCUGCAGACCGUCGGCCUCAGCAGCUUUUGAAAGUGGCAAAGGUAAAAUAAUCCAGUAACGUGGUGGAGACAGAUGCAAUGAGAGUGGCCACGAGUUGACAGAUAAUGUUGGAAAAGUGGGGAAGACUUCGGGGAGCUUCAUAAGGCAUUUGCCUCCAUUCGUCUACACACACAAAAAUAUCCGUUCCAAAAGAAACCAGAAGGUCUGGCAACUCUCUACAUAUGUGACCAUCUCUUUUUUUGUGUGCCUUGGGAAGGACAGCUCUCUUCUAAGUGGCAGGCACUAUUGGAUCCCAUCCAAGAUAUUACAUCACAUUUAUUU
Herpailurus yagouaroundi (jaguarundi) is the source of this 460-nucleotide long non-coding RNA. RefSeq lists it as uncharacterized. The record is from RefSeq and is a predicted model, not a curated record. Lineage: Eukaryota; Metazoa; Chordata; Mammalia; Carnivora; Felidae. The transcript is spliced from 4 exons.